Molecule: ribosomal RNA, 2977 nt
Filed under: Microporella cf. intermedia RJO-2020
Lineage: Eukaryota; Metazoa; Bryozoa; Gymnolaemata; Cheilostomatida; Microporellidae
Description: partial large subunit ribosomal RNA
Rfam family: Eukaryotic large subunit ribosomal RNA
Source: RNAcentral
ACCCGCUGAACUUAAGCAUAUCAGUAAGCGGAGGAAAAGAAACUAACUAGGAUUCCCCGAGUAGCGGCGAGCGAAAGGGGAGAAGCCCAGCGCCGAAGCGCGCGGCCUCCGGCCGCAGCGCAAUGUGGCGUUUCGGCGGCGACUCGCAGCCACCUGACCUGGCACGCGUACCUCUGAAUGGGUCUGCCCGCAGCGGGUGUCAGGCCUCUAGGUGCCGAGCGGUCAGUGGCGGCCCGUCGUCGUCGCGGAGUCGGGUUGCUUGAGAGUGCAGCCCAAAGUGGGUGGUAAGCUCCAUCUAAGGCUAAAUACCUAGUGCGAGACCGAUAGCAAACAAGUACCGUGAGGGAAAGUUGCAAAGAACUUUGAAAAGAGAGUUCAAGAGUACGUGAAACCGUUCAGAGGCAAACGGACGGAACUGGGCGAGUUCGCCGUCGUCAUUCAGCCGGCGCGUCUUCGGGCGCGACGGUGCACUUGGCGGCGGCGGAGCACGACGACCGCCUGCCAGGUCGUCAGAAGCGCGGCGGCAAGGUGGCGACGCGUUCGCGCGUCGUGUUACAGGCCGCCGUGGCGUUGGCAGACUUGGCGGGCGAGGAGCGCCUGCGGUGCCCUCUCCUCGCGAGAGCGGCCCGCGCGCGCGGGCUCGGGGCCGUCGGCGGCGAACUGCUCGCAGUUUGUCGUUUGCGCGCGCCUCUUGUCUCGCCGCGCGGUGCCGCGGGCACCCAGGGUCCGGGUCGUGUGGUUCCUGGCACUCCGUCCGACCCGUCUUGAAACACGGACCAAGGAGUUGAGCACGUGCGCAAGUCGAUGGGCUCUAUGAACCCCAGUGGCGCAGCUAAGGCAAAACGGGCGUGAUCCGGCACUGGCGUGUCGGCGCAACGCCGGCCCGCAGCCGACUCGUUGCGAGUGGCUGCGGCGCAAGAGCGUGCGUGCUCAGACCCGAAAGGUGGUGAACUAUGCUUGAGCAGGGCGAAGCCAGAGGAAACUCUGGUGGAGGCUCGCAGCGAUCCUGACGUGCAAAUCGGUCGUCAAACUUGAGCAUAGGGGCGAAAGACUAAUCGAACCGCCUAGUAGCUGGUUCCCUCCGAAGUUUCCCUCAGGAUAGCUGGCACUCAGGAUAAAUGGUUUUAUCCGGUAAAGCGAAUGAUUAGAGGCAUUGGGGACGAAACGUCCUCAACCUAUUCUCAAACUUUAAAUGGGUAAGAGGCGCGACCCUUCCUGAUCGGGGUCGCGUGCUUGAACAGAGAGUGCCCAGUGGGCCGUUUUUGGUAAGCAGAACUGGCGCUGUGGGAUGAACCAAACGUGCGGUUAGGGUGCCUAACGCACGCUCAUGAGACACCACAAAAGGUGUUGGUUGAUAUAGACAGCAGGACGGUGGCCAUGGAAGUCGGAAUCCGCUAAGGAGUGUGUAACAACUCACCUGCCGAAUCAACUAGCCCUGAAAAUGGAUGGCGCUGGAGCGUGCGACCCAUACCGCACCGUCGGGGCAAUGCGUGCGAAAUGCCAGGCCCCGAUGAGUAGGAGGGCGCAUUGGUGGCGUUGAAGCGUAGUGCGUGAGCACGCGUGGAGCCGCCUUUGGUGCAGAUCUUGGUGGUAGUAGCAAGUAUACAAAUGAGAACUUUGUAGACCGAAGUGGAGAAGGGUUCCAUGUGAACAGCAGUUGGACAUGGGUCAGUCGGCCCUAAGAGAUCGGAGAACUCCGUUCUGAACGGGGAGACAGACUAGCGGGGCGUCAGCUGAGCCAAUGGAGAGAGAGAGCGCCAGUGACCUGAGCCCGGCGGAAGGGGGCGAGAGCGAGAGCUGCAUUCACACAGAGCGGAGUCGCGCCGUGCUCGCGACCGGACUGUGGGCGUGCGUGCGCCGUCAAACCUGGGUGUACAUGGAAUUGACGGAAGCGCGGCGUCGUGCGUCCGGCCGGCCGCGGGCUGCCACGACCACCUGGCCUACUCGUCGUUGCGGGAGGCCCGGUCGUCGGCGGCGGCGCGACAACAUAGCCGCCACACCAGCAGCGCUCUCAACUUGAACGUGCCCCCCCGCACGGUCGCAAACCUUGUCACCCAGAGCACGGUCACGCGCUCUUCUCUCAGGGCCGCGGCGGCGCCGCUAGAGUGAGCUGAUCCCCGAUGCGAUCGAAAGGGAAUCGGGUUAAUAUUCCCGAACCUGGCAGUGGAGAUUGGGCCCUCGGGCCCCAGUGCGGUAACGCAACCGAACUCGGAGACGCCAGCGUCGAUCCCGGGAAGAGUUCUCUUUUCUUUGUUAGGAGCGGACUCCCUGGAAUUGGCUUGUCCAGAGAUAGGGACGUUGCAUCCGUAAAGCGUCGCGCCUCACGCGGCGUCCGGUGCAUCGGCGCUGGCCCUUGAAAAUCCGAGGAAGGCAGUGUAAUUUUCACUCCAGGCCGUACCCGAAUCCGCAGCAGGUCUCCAAGGUGAACAGCCUCUGGUCGAUAGAACAAUGUAGGUAAGGGAAGUCGGCAAAUCCGAUCCGUAACUUCGGGAUAAGGAUUGGCUCUGAGGUGCGGGCUGCUUCGGGUCGCGGCAAGAAGCGGACCGUGCGUUGGCUGGACUGAGUGAGCCCCUCGCGGGCGAGCUCGGACCGCCGCCAGCGCGCGUCCGUGGGCGGCCGUUGCUUUCGCCGGCGUCGGCCUCGGUCGGCGUCGGCUUCGUUCGGCCUAAACGCACAGCACAGAACUGGCACGGACUCUGAGAACACGACUGUCUAAUUAAAACAAAGCAUCGCGAUGGCCGCUGGUCGGUGUUGACGCGAUGUGAUUUCUGCCCAGUGCUUUGAAUGUCAAAGUGAAGAAAUUCAACCAAGCGCAGGUAAACGGCGGGAGUAACUAUGACUCUCUUAAGGUAGCCAAAUGCCUCGUCAUCUAAUUAGUGACGCGCAUGAAUGGAUUAACGAUGUUCUCACUGUCCCUAUCUACUAUCUAGCGAAACCACAGCCAAGGGAACGGGCUUGGCAAAUACAGCGGGGAAAG